RNAcentral lists this ribosomal RNA (158 nucleotides) under uncultured bacterium. Its description in RNAcentral is "partial 16S ribosomal RNA". It matches the Rfam family "Bacterial small subunit ribosomal RNA", at positions 354 to 509 of the family's 1533-position model. The record is from RNAcentral.
GUGAGGAAUAUUGGUCAAUGGGCGAGAGCCUGAACCAGCCAAGUAGCGUGAAGGAUGACUGCCCUAUGGGUUGUAAACUUCUUUUAUAAAGGAAUAAAGUCGGGUAUGGAUACCCGUUUGCAUGUACUUUAUGAAUAAGGAUCGGCUAACUCCGUGCC